This 301-nucleotide ribosomal RNA is filed under the name uncultured bacterium. RNAcentral describes it as "partial 16S ribosomal RNA". It matches the Rfam family "Bacterial small subunit ribosomal RNA", at positions 509 to 807 of the family's 1533-position model. The record is from RNAcentral.
CAGCAGCCGCGGGAAUACAGAGGGUGCAAGCGUUAAUCGGAAUUACUGGGCGUAAAGCGCGCGUAGGUGGUUUGUUAAGUUGGAUGUGAAAUCCCCGGGCUCAACCUGGGAACUGCAUCCAAAACUGGCAAGCUAGAGUAUGGUAGAGGGUGGUGGAAUUUCCUGUGUAGCGGUGAAAUGCGUAUAUAUAGGAAGGAACACCAGUGGCGAAGGCGACCACCUGGACUGAUACUGACACUGAGGUGCGAAAGUGUGGGGAGCAAACAGGAUUAGAUACCCCCGUAGUUCCUGUCUCUUAUAC